RNAcentral lists this ribosomal RNA (497 nucleotides) under uncultured bacterium. RNAcentral's name for it is "partial 16S ribosomal RNA". It matches the Rfam family "Bacterial small subunit ribosomal RNA", at positions 28 to 507 of the family's 1533-position model. The record is from RNAcentral.
GAUGAACGCUGGCGGCGUGCCUAAUACAUGCAAGUCGAGCGAACGGACGAGAAGCUUGCUUUUCUGAUGUUAGCGGCGGACGGGUGAGUAACACGUGGAUAACCUACCUAUAAGACUGGGAUAACUUCGGGAAACCGGAGCUAAUACCGGAUAAUAUUUUGAACCGCAUGGUUCAAAAGUGAAAGACGGUCUUGCUGUCACUUAUAGAUGGAUCCGCGCUGCAUUAGCUAGUUGGUAAGGUAACGGCUUACCAAGGCAACGAUGCAUAGCCGACCUGAGAGGACGAUCGGCCACACUGGAACUGAGACACGGUCCAGACUCCUACGGGAGGCAGCAGUAGGGAAUCUUCCGCAAUGGGCGAAAGCCUGACGGAGCAACGCCGCGUGAGUGAUGAAGGUCUUCGGAUCGUAAAACUCUGUUAUUAGGGAAGAACAUAUGUGUAAGUAACUGUGCACACCUUGACGGUACCUAAUCAGAAAGCAACGGCUAACUACGUG